This 432-nucleotide ribosomal RNA is filed under the name uncultured bacterium. RNAcentral describes it as "partial 16S ribosomal RNA". It matches the Rfam family "Bacterial small subunit ribosomal RNA", at positions 29 to 507 of the family's 1533-position model. The record is from RNAcentral.
GCGAACGCUGGCGGCAGGCCUCACACAUGCCAGUCGAACGCACUCUUCGGAGUUAGUGGCGGACGGGUGAGUAACACGUGGGAACGUGCCUUUUGGUUCGGAAUAACUCAGGGAAACUUGUGCUAAUACCGAAUGUGCCCUUCAGGGGAAAGAUUUAUCGCCAUUAGAGCGGCCCGCGUCUGAUUAGCUAGUUGGUGAGGUAACGGCUCACCAAGGCGACGAUCAGUAGCUGGUCUGAGAGGAUGACCAGCCACACUGGGACUGAGACACGGCCCAGACUCCUACGGGAGGCAGCAGUGGGGAAUCUUGCGCAAUGGGCGAAAGCCUGACGCAGCCAUGCCGCGUGAAUGAUGAAGGUCUUAGGAUUGUAAAAUUCUUUCACCGGGGACGAUAAUGACGGUACCCGGAGAAGAAGCCCCGGCUAACUUCGUG